UUGUUGAAUCGACCAUCCUGAAGUAACGGUUCAGGCUCCAUUGGUAGUCCAUUUGGUCCCAUCGGCCUUUCAUAUAUUCUUGUCAACGCCGUGUUCAUAGGAUCGGGUUCAAACACCUCUGGAGCAUCGUAGUCAUACUCAUCCUCCACAAUCAUGUUGUGGAGGAUGAUGCAAGUAAUCAUAAUACUCCUCAGCACCUCCUCGUCUAGCAUCCGAGCAGCACCCC
Molecule: long non-coding RNA, 226 nt
Filed under: Prunus persica (peach)
Lineage: Eukaryota; Viridiplantae; Streptophyta; Magnoliopsida; Rosales; Rosaceae
Description: long non-coding RNA (PPER_LNC005720)
Source: RNAcentral